This 1157-nucleotide ribosomal RNA is filed under the name Listeria monocytogenes. Its description in RNAcentral is "partial 23S ribosomal RNA". It matches the Rfam family "Bacterial large subunit ribosomal RNA", at positions 387 to 1544 of the family's 2925-position model. The record is from RNAcentral. Lineage: Bacteria; Bacillati; Bacillota; Bacilli; Caryophanales; Listeriaceae.
GCUUUCCCUCCAGAGUGGAUCCUGAGUACGGCGGAACACGUGAAAUUCCGUCGGAAUCCGGGAGGACCAUCUCCCAAGGCUAAAUACUCCCUAGUGACCGAUAGUGAACCAGUACCGUGAGGGAAAGGUGAAAAGCACCCCGGAAGGGGAGUGAAACAGUUCCUGAAACCGUGUGCCUACAAGUAGUUAGAGCCCGUUAAUGGGUGAUAGCGUGCCUUUUGUAGAAUGAACCGGCGAGUUACGAUUUGUUGCAAGGUUAAGCGGAAAAAGCGGAGCCGUAGCGAAAGCGAGUCUGAAUAGGGCGCAUAAGUAACAGGUCGUAGACCCGAAACCAGGUGAUCUACCCAUGUCCAGGAUGAAGGUAAGGUAAUACUUACUGGAGGUCCGAACCCACGCACGUUGAAAAGUGCGGGGAUGAGGUGUGGGUAGCGGAGAAAUUCCAAUCGAACUUGGAGAUAGCUGGUUCUCUCCGAAAUAGCUUUAGGGCUAGCCUCGAGGUAAAGAGUCAUGGAGGUAGAGCACUGUUUGGACUAGGGGCCCUUCUCGGGUUACCGAAUUCAGAUAAACUCCGAAUGCCAUGUACUUAUACUCGGGAGUCAGACUGCGAGUGAUAAGAUCCGUAGUCGAAAGGGAAACAGCCCAGACCACCAGUUAAGGUCCCCAAAUAUAUGUUAAGUGGAAAAGGAUGUGGGGUUGCUUAGACAACCAGGAUGUUGGCUUAGAAGCAGCCACCAUUGAAAGAGUGCGUAAUAGCUCACUGGUCGAGUGACCCCGCGCCGAAAAUGUACCGGGGCUAAACAUAUUACCGAAACUGUGGAUGAACCUCUUUAGAGGUUCGUGGUAGGAGAGCGUUCUAAGGGCGGUGAAGUCAGACCGGAAGGACUGGUGGAGCGCUUAGAAGUGAGAAUGCCGGUAUGAGUAGCGAAAGAAGGGUGAGAAUCCCUUCCACCGAAUAUCUAAGGUUUCCUGAGGAAGGCUCGUCCGCUCAGGGUUAGUCGGGACCUAAGCCGAGGCCGAUAGGCGUAGGCGAUGGACAACAGGUAGAGAUUCCUGUACCAGUGCUAAUUGUUUAACCGAUGGGGUGACACAGAAGGAUAGGGAAUCGCACGAAUGGAAAUGUGCGUCCAAGCAGUGAGUGUGAGAAGUAGGCAAAUCCG